AUUAAUUAAUUUUUAAUAUUAACCAUUCAUUAAUUAAUUUUGAAUGUCUAUUUUGUCAAAAUUACAUGAAAAAUCUUCAUUGAAGUUGAAAAUUCUCGGCAAAAAAGAGUAUGUUGUAUGAGAUCGAACCCCCAACCAUAUCAACCUUAUCAAUCUUGCGUUUACCAGUCCAAUACUCUCCCAACUGAGCUACUCAGCAAUUCUGAAAAUAGGAUGUUUGAAAGGGGGUUUAUCUUAUAAAAGCAUUGAAAUGAUUACCACAGUCAGUGUUGUCAACGUAAUUUUGGUUUUCCCGCACUGAUCCUCUAUAUUAUAAACUACUGACUAUUUUGUAUUGUCAAGUUGCAAAUCUGGAUGACGCAAAGUAGCACUUUGUGCACUAGUGCCGAAAAGUGAUUCUUUGCGUUCUGUAAUCAGUGCAGGAAUGGUCACUUUUCGAGGUAACUGUAGGAAAAAUUAAUUUCUUUCAAGUACAUUUUUUAAAGGGAGUGGUUUGACUGAGUGGUGCGCUAAUAACCUAUCGCUAAGAUGAGUUAAGAAUGAUGCGCCUGCUACUCCCGUUGGAAGGGUGACCGCUUGAUUCAUGAGUUGUAAAAUUGCUUCCUGGUGGUUCGAAACCCACCUAAAACUGUAGGUCUAUUCAUCUCUCAUUAUCAACCGCCUCAUUACCCACGCAUGAGCCUUGAGCUCAUGUGUACAUCACCCUCAGCAAAAAAGAAUAUUAUAUUGAAAAAAUACCUAUUAAUAUUGUUAAAGUUAAUCUAAUUUCAAAGUUUUGAAAGUGUAUCACAGACUCCACAUUGUUUGGAAUAAAGCGACAAAUUAACAAAAUAUUUACCCCCUUUCCGAUUAUAUAGUGAGGUCCACGUUAUUAUGGCAGUGGAUAAAAACAAGGGAACAGCGUUGCCGAUUCCCUGCCUUGCCACGGUAGCGGUAGUGGCAAGUACCUUCUGUAGAGGGUAGUAGAGGGUAGCUGAUACCGGCAUAUCUGAAGUAAUAUUAAAGCUGCUUUUACACCGGAGUUAAAAACACAAGUUAUUAACUUGACUGAAUCGUCAAAAAUUUCUCUUAAUAAAAAUUAAUAACUCGUAUUUUUAACAGAAAAUUCCUUGUUAUUAACAAGAUCUUGUUAUCAAUAUAAUUGACUUCCAUAUGAUUUCAUUUAACGAGAGUAAUAUUAUAUAACGAGAGUCAUUUAUAUGAUAUAACAGCCGGGAUUAAAAGCAAAAAAAAAA
This is a long non-coding RNA of Nilaparvata lugens (brown planthopper), 1235 nucleotides long. RefSeq lists it as uncharacterized. The transcript has 2 exons. The record is from RefSeq and is a predicted model, not a curated record. Lineage: Eukaryota; Metazoa; Arthropoda; Insecta; Hemiptera; Delphacidae.